GAGUUUGAUCGUGGCUCAGGAUGAACGCUGGCGGCGUGCCUAAUACAUGCAAGUCGAACGAACAGAUAAGGAGCUUGCUCCUUUGACGUUAGCGGCGGACGGGUGAGUAACACGUGGGUAACCUACCUAUAAGACUGGAAUAACUCCGGGAAACCGGGGCUAAUGCCGGAUAACAUGUUGAACCGCAUGGUUCUACAGUGAAAGACGGUCUUGCUGUCACUUAUAGAUGGACCCGCGCCGUAUUAGCUAGUUGGUGGGGUAACGGCCUACCAAGGCGACGAUACGUAGCCGACCUGAGAGGGUGAUCGGCCACACUGGAACUGAGACACGGUCCAGACUCCUACGGGAGGCAGCAGUAGGGAAUCUUCCGCAAUGGGCGAAAGCCUGACGGAGCAACGCCGCGUGAGUGAUGAAGGUCUUCGGAUCGUAAAGCUCUGUUGUUAGGGAAGAACAAAUGUGUAAGUAACUGUGCAUAUCUUGACGGUACCUAACCAGAAAGCCACGGCUAACUACGUGCCAGCAGCCGCCGC
This 530-nucleotide ribosomal RNA is filed under the name uncultured microorganism. RNAcentral describes it as "bacterial SSU rRNA". It matches the Rfam family "Bacterial small subunit ribosomal RNA", at positions 9 to 521 of the family's 1533-position model. The record is from RNAcentral.